This 335-nucleotide unclassified non-coding RNA is filed under the name uncultured fungus. RNAcentral's name for it is "partial contains small subunit ribosomal RNA, internal transcribed spacer 1, and 5.8S ribosomal RNA". The stretch from base 1 to 73 matches the Rfam family "Eukaryotic small subunit ribosomal RNA", at positions 1759 to 1831 of the family's 1831-position model. The record is from RNAcentral. Lineage: Eukaryota; Fungi.
GCAAACUUGGUCAUUUAGAGGAAGUAAAAGUCGUAACAAGGUUUCCGUAGGUGAACCUGCGGAAGGAUCAUUACCGAGUAAGGGUUCCUCUCACGGGCCCGACCUCCCAACCCUGUGUCUAUCACACCUUGUCGUUGCUUCGGCGGACCGGCUUGAGGACUUCUGGUCCUGGGCCGCCGGGGGUGUUUGGUCACCCCGGGAGAGCGUCCGCCGAUGGCCCAACUACAACUUCUGUGUUCCAAACCUGGUCGUCUAAAUCAAACUUGAUCAUAAUCAAAAAACACAAAACUUUCAACAACGGAUCUCUUGGUUCUGGCAUCGAUGAAGAACGCAGC